This 253-nucleotide ribosomal RNA is filed under the name uncultured bacterium. Its description in RNAcentral is "partial 16S ribosomal RNA". It matches the Rfam family "Bacterial small subunit ribosomal RNA", at positions 524 to 776 of the family's 1533-position model. The record is from RNAcentral.
GACGGAGGAUGCAAGCGUUAUCCGGAAUGUUUGGGCGUAAAACGUCCGCAGGUGGCAGUUCAAGUCUGCUGUCAAAGACCGGGGCUUAACUUCGGAAAGGCAGUGGAAACUGAACAGCUAGAGUAUGGUAGGGGCAGAGGGAAUUCCUGGUGUAGCGGUGAAAUGCGUAGAGAUCAGGAGGAACACCAAUUGCGAAGGCAGCUCGCUGGGACGUGACUGACGCUGAGACGCGAAAGCGUGGGGAGCAAACAGG